CUAAUAUGUCUUCUACUAUAUAUACCCUUGCCCUAACAUAAAUUAGGGGCGGUUGUUCAUUAUAUGCUUUCUUCAUAUCAUCAUUCAUAUAUUCAAGAACACAUUCAAGUCAUUAAUUUAUCCAUUGAUUCUUGAAUUCACACAAUCACAUAUUUGGGAAAAACAUCAAUUUCAUAUAAUCCAAAAUACUCACUUCCUAUACACAUAAAGGAAGAUACUUUCUCAAUAGUUUUCAGAGAUUGUUGAAAAGUGAGGGAGGUUAGACUAGAAGCAGGGGAAGAGUACAAAAACAAGGUGUUUUUGGUGAUCCACAGGAUAUAGACAAUUCGAGAAGAUCGCACGUAUAAGUGAAACACGUUCCAGCGGGUUUUGGAGAUUGCAGGAAGUAGAUUAGCAAAGCUAGUGAAAUUUUUUAGACUGGAUCAUAAUGUGAGUUCAUCAUUGUCUAUAAUGAAGGUUAUUGGCUUGGUCCUAAAGUUUUACCCAGUUGGAUAUUUUUGUCAACAAUUCUUGUGUUCUUUAUUACUUUCAUAUUACAAACUAUGUCAGUUCAACGUAGAAUAAUUUGUCGUGUAUGAUUAAUCAUUUAGAAAUAAUUAAAAAG
Molecule: long non-coding RNA, 604 nt
Filed under: Olea europaea subsp. europaea
Lineage: Eukaryota; Viridiplantae; Streptophyta; Magnoliopsida; Lamiales; Oleaceae
Source: RNAcentral